UCAACUGAAGCUGGGACGAUAGCUCGUGUAAUUGCUGAUGGCACAAUAACCCUGGCUGGAUUCCUAGGCGAGAGUAGGCUCUUGAAUGCCACCCUUCUUCCUUCGCUCUUUAUUUCUGUGGCCUCCAUAAUUGCCACUUGUUUUACCUAUAACUCACUCUAUUGAUUCUUAUGUUGUAUGGACAAGUCAUUUGAUAUGUGAAGUCUAGCUUCUCAAUUUUGUUCCUCUUUUUUCAAUAAGAAUCAAUAGAGUGAG
RNAcentral lists this unclassified non-coding RNA (255 nucleotides) under Hevea brasiliensis (rubber tree). The record is from RNAcentral. Lineage: Eukaryota; Viridiplantae; Streptophyta; Magnoliopsida; Malpighiales; Euphorbiaceae.